Molecule: long non-coding RNA, 1738 nt
Filed under: Oryza sativa (Asian cultivated rice)
Lineage: Eukaryota; Viridiplantae; Streptophyta; Magnoliopsida; Poales; Poaceae
Description: long non-coding RNA (OSAT_LNC000619)
Source: RNAcentral
UAAAUUAUUAUAGAGGUGGAUAGUUCCUCUCAAAAGAAUGAAAUUCUACGCAGCGGAAAUAAAAACAAAAGACUAAACAGCUAUGGCGACUCCACUCCACAAGCAUCUUGACCCGAACAUAGCCUAAUCCUCCUGAACAGCACCUUCAUUGAAGUACUCCUCUGAUGAAUGAAUAUUGCAAGAAUGAGCGUAUGACAUACUCAACAAGCCACACAGCAAAUAUGCAAAUGCACAGGAUAACAAAGGAUGGCAUAAUAUAGCUUAUUUGCAUAAACAACAUUUAAUAAACAUUUGAGAGAAUAGUAAAACAAUUGUAUAAAUUAAGCAAUAUUAAAUAAACACUAUACAACACACCCGUGUUGCAUAGGCCCAAACUCAUCUGAACAACCAACCCCGGUUGUACAAAUCAAACCUCCAUACCAGGAAUGUACCAUUCCAAACCAGGAGUCAAUUUAAUUAUCACAGUUUAUCACCAAUAAUGAGUAGUGUGAGACUAAUCACGAAAAACAUUAUUAGACCCGCCCAUAACCACGGGCACAGCUAUUUAAAUAGUUUUACUCUGGCCAGAGAUGUACCACUUUACCCACAAGACACAGCUCCACGACAUGUCACCAUGCGCCUCAAUACCACCACGGUAUCUCGGAAAGGAACUGUGACAAUACCCCCUCGCACAAUACAACUCACCACAGUGCACCAAUCCUGGAUCAUAAUCACCCCCUCUACAACCAGAGGCAUGAACUCCCCAGCGACCCCCAUAGACUUCUCGCCGCUUCUCAGUCUGGCACCCCGUAAUGAACCAUGCUAUACUGAAGGUAAAGCCGUUGCCCACGCUGGCUUGUGGUUGGCACGGUAAAUAUUUCACAACAGUAGCUCGCGAACCGGUCCUUAAUUGUCAUGAGACUACCAUCAAAACCAUGUGCUCACAACCCACCAUUAAUCAAAUUUUAAUUAUCAUAGCACGAUUAACCAUCGUGAGCUACCAUUAAAUAUAACCAUAAGUAGUAAUGUAGUGUGAUUUAUCCCAUUAAUGAGCUAAUGUUUCUAAGCAUGGCUAAGCAAUUAUAUAUAUAGCAUUUAGGCUAGCUGAACCAAACCAAUAUAUAAGGUUCGAGCUAAUCAAUUUAUUACCCAUAGUAAGAUAAAGUCAUCUUCGGCCAUAAUUAAUUGGGAAAAGGCUCACCACCCGAUGACAUUCGAAAAUAAUGCAUAAGUUGAAAUAAAACAUUAGCUUUAAACGGGUUCAACAUGCUCAAAGGGUUGUUUGGGAUCUGUAUGACUUGCCUUGAGCUUCUUUAAACACUUCUGAACCUUACUCAAUGUAAACGCUCUCCUCGGGAACAUCGGAAACUAAAGCAAAUGAACAAAAUCAACAAAACAGUACAAAAACAAGCAUAAACAGUACAUGUGGAUAUUUUUAACAUGUAGAUCUCGAUUUUAGAUGAAUUUAGCAACUUGAACCACUUGAAUCCGAGUUACGAUGAUUUAGCUAUGAAUUUCCGAAGUUUAAUCAGUUUUUCACCUAAUUCAGAAAAUUAUUACGAUUUAAAUAAAAAAUUUAUGAUGUCAGGAUGACAUCACUGCCGGGCAUGGUUCUGGACCACACAACCGCCGGCGAACGAAGGCACAACGGCGCAAACAGAGAGCACCAUCGCAACGAGCACGACGAGAGGAACCCACCGGUGGUGACGGCGACGACAAUCGACGACAGAAAACGGCCGGCGACGAGCUUCCAAAAGCG